AUGGACGUGUACAACUUCAACCUCGGCAUCGAGCAGUACACUGUGGGCUCGAUCAUCCUCUUCGACGUAGGAGACGGUGAGCCGAGCAGCUACAGUACAAUCCAGAUCGGCUGGGAGGUUUCACCCAAGAUGUACGGCGAUUCGCGCACCCGUUUAGCUGGCCUAUGGACGAAUGAUGGGUUACAAGAAACUGGUUGCCCCAAUGCCCAGUGCGAUUUUCGGCCGGCAGAGGGUGCACCCAUGACGCUCGGAGGUGUAAUUGAGACAGUUUCCCAACCCAAGGGACUCAAACAAACCAUCACUAUUAUAAUUUUUAAGGACGGCGUAAUGGGAGACUGGCUGGCGUAUUACGGGCUCAAUCAGGAUGACCCUGCAUUUAUUGGGUCUUUCCCCAAGUCGUUAUUUACCAGAGGGAUGGCGAACCAAGCGCCGUCUAUCCGUUUUGGUGGAUACGUGCAGACCCACACGACGAAUUUAGUUCCGAUGGGCAGUGGCUACCUUCCCAGGGUGAUGCGAUUGCGUCCGCGCUCAUGA
Molecule: ribosomal RNA, 534 nt
Filed under: Triticum aestivum (bread wheat)
Lineage: Eukaryota; Viridiplantae; Streptophyta; Magnoliopsida; Poales; Poaceae
Description: partial small subunit ribosomal RNA
Source: RNAcentral